UGUAGUGAGGCCCAAUGGUUUGAGGGUUGGACUAUAACUCUGGAGACCGGGGUUCAAUUUCCAGCUCUGCCA
Phrynosoma platyrhinos (Desert horned lizard) is the source of this 72-nucleotide non-coding RNA. NCBI's taxonomy places the organism in Eukaryota, Metazoa, Chordata, Lepidosauria, Squamata, Phrynosomatidae. The record is from the annotation of a GenBank genome assembly.